RNAcentral lists this transfer RNA (73 nucleotides) under Actinoplanes cyaneus. RNAcentral describes it as "tRNA-Val". It matches the Rfam family "tRNA". Rfam says of the family: Transfer RNA (tRNA) molecules are approximately 80 nucleotides in length. Their secondary structure includes four short double-helical elements and three loops (D, anti-codon, and T loops). Further hydrogen bonds mediate the characteristic L-shaped molecular structure. tRNAs have two regions of fundamental functional importance: the anti-codon, which is responsible for specific mRNA codon recognition, and the 3' end, to which the tRNAs corresponding amino acid is attached (by aminoacyl-tRNA synthetases). tRNAs cope with the degeneracy of the genetic code in two manners: having more than one tRNA (with a specific anti-codon) for a particular amino acid; and 'wobble' base-pairing, i.e. permitting non-standard base-pairing at the 3rd anti-codon position. The record is from RNAcentral. Lineage: Bacteria; Bacillati; Actinomycetota; Actinomycetes; Micromonosporales; Micromonosporaceae.
GCCCGGAUAGCUCAGGGGGAGAGCGCCGCCGUGACAGGGCGGAGGUCGCUGGUUCGAUACCAGCUCGGGGCAC